Molecule: RNA transcript, 829 nt
Organism: Rhipicephalus sanguineus (brown dog tick)
Lineage: Eukaryota; Metazoa; Arthropoda; Arachnida; Ixodida; Ixodidae
Exons: 6
Source: RefSeq, a predicted model, not a curated record
UGUAUUUCACCUUGCUUAUUGUGUCUGUACACGCUUGUUCAGGUGUUUUCGUUGUCCGGGAUGCUGACACCAAGUAGCGCAAAAAGUACACGCAGACUGGAGAGACUACAAGUUUCAAGCACAUGAUGCGGACCCCGGAUACACUGAUACAGCGAAGGAAAGCAUUGGGAUUCCUUAUUCUCGUUGUUUUAAACGAAGGACCCUGCUUCACUCUCAUCUCAGCAGGAACGAACGAAGGCGACAGCUCGACUAGCUGCUCAGCAGACGGGAACAAGGUCACCGGAACUGUAAUGUCUGUAGUUUGUAAUCGUGCUUCCGUCGUCAAGGUAAAAGAGGAGGAAGUGCCCGCUGAGAUGUGUCGAGAGCGGUUCCGGUGGCAUGUCCUCAAUAGCUGGUGCAGUCCAGUGGAGCUUCUCUACAACGUAACCGUGCCUAUGAUUCGAAAGCCUCGUGCGCGGAAAACCACGAAAGUGAUGGUCAAUUUCACAACAGGAGGAUGGAAAUAAGCAAACGUGAAAUGGGCUCACGACAGCUUAAACGAAGGCGAACUGAGACUGGUUACGAAGGUCAGACAUGCAGUUACACUGUUACGAUUAUCUUCACUAUAUCCAAAAGAGCUUCAGAAAAAGAGAGAAAGAUGGCGAAACUACGGAAGAUUUGCGAUCCUACGGAACGGCAGUCGACAACAGGACGUCAUAUUAUCUGUAUGCUAACCGAUAAGUACGAGCAAAAAGUGUGUCGCUAUCCACGAGACGCAGAAACGACUGGUGACUACUGACUGUAAUUGUGUGAUGUAAUAAAAGCUAUCAGGAAUAAACUUGCAAUGUUA